UGAGCAAUACUUCAUUUUCAUUCAAUACUUCAAUAGUUCAAUUAUUAUUCAAUUAAUUAACAUAUUUGUUUUUAGAACGUUUUUGACUUUUUGGGAAGCUUGGCAAUGAAAUUUUGAAACAGUGGUGAAUUGGUAAACUACUUAACUGGCAGAAUUGCAGGUGGUGAUUUGGUUGCAGUUAAGAAUGCUUUUGGCCUUUUUGGAAGCUUUCAAUAUACAAACUACUGCUUUGAAUGUGAAACUGUCCACUGCUCUGCAUCCUUGAAUCCUUGAUUAUGG
Molecule: long non-coding RNA, 279 nt
Organism: Ipomoea nil (Japanese morning glory)
Lineage: Eukaryota; Viridiplantae; Streptophyta; Magnoliopsida; Solanales; Convolvulaceae
Exons: 3
Source: RefSeq, a predicted model, not a curated record